GUAUUGUAAUGCGUUAAACGCGACAUUCAUUCCAUGGGACUUUAUUACAGUGUGUGUGUGUGUGUAAAGACGUAGGACCACAGCAAGAGGACGGGGUCCCCGAGGCCAUGGAACUACAGAGAGUGCACAGGUGUGAGUGGAUGUGUAAACAGAGCGUGCACAUGCCCCUUUUGAGGACCAGCAACAACUCGUGUCGACGGUUCAGUAAUGAUCCUUCCGCAGGUUCACCUACGGAAA
RNAcentral lists this unclassified non-coding RNA (237 nucleotides) under uncultured fungus. Its description in RNAcentral is "sequence contains ITS1". Lineage: Eukaryota; Fungi. The record is from RNAcentral.